UUCACAUCCCGAACACGGUAGUUAAGCUUCUCUGCGCCAAUGGUAGUUGGGGGCUUCCCCCUGCGAGAGUAGGUCGCUGCCGGGC
This 85-nucleotide ribosomal RNA is filed under the name Listeria monocytogenes. Lineage: Bacteria; Bacillati; Bacillota; Bacilli; Caryophanales; Listeriaceae. The record is from RNAcentral.